ACUCCUACGGGAGGCAGCAGUGAGGAAUAUUGGUCAAUGGAGGGAACUCUGAACCAGCCAUCCCGCGUGUAGGAAGACGGCCUUAUGGGUUGUAAACUACUUUUAUACAGGAAGAAACGUACCCUCGUGAGGGUGCCUGACGGUACUGUAGGAAUAAGCACCGGCUAACUCCGUGCCAGCAGCCGCGGUAAUACGGAGGGGUGCGAGCGUUAUCCGGAUUUAUUGGGGUUUAAAGGGGUCCGUAGGCGGAUUAAUAAGUCAGUGGUGAAAUCCCAUCGCUUAACGAUGGAACUGCCAUUGAUACUGUUAGUCUUGAAUGAGGGUGCAGUGGUUGGAAUGUGUAGUGUAGCGGUGAAAUGCAUAGAUAUUACACAGAACACCGAUUGCGAAGGCAGAUCACUAACCCUAAAUUGACGCUGAGGGACGAAAGCGUGGGGAGCGAACAGGAUUAGAUACCCUGGUAGCGACUGA
RNAcentral lists this ribosomal RNA (471 nucleotides) under uncultured bacterium. Its description in RNAcentral is "bacterial SSU rRNA". It matches the Rfam family "Bacterial small subunit ribosomal RNA", at positions 335 to 798 of the family's 1533-position model. The record is from RNAcentral.